This 274-nucleotide ribosomal RNA is filed under the name uncultured bacterium. RNAcentral describes it as "partial 16S ribosomal RNA". It matches the Rfam family "Bacterial small subunit ribosomal RNA", at positions 523 to 796 of the family's 1533-position model. The record is from RNAcentral.
AUACGGAGGGUGCAAGCGUUGUUCGGAAUCACUGGGCGUAAAGGGCGCGCAGGCGGUUUGGUAAGUCAGAUGUGAAAGCCCACGGCUCAACCGUGGAAGUGCAUUUGAAACUGCCAGACUUGAGUACCAGAGGGGAAAGUGGAAUUCCCGGUGUAGAGGUGAAAUUCGUAGAUAUCGGGAGGAAUACCGGUGGCGAAGGCGACUUUCUGGCUGGAUACUGACGCUGAGGCGCGAAAGCGUGGGGAGCAAACAGGAUUAGAUACCCUUGUAGUCC